CGCCUGUUUUACAAAAACAUGUCCUUUUGGGUGAAUAUGAGGUCUGACCUGCCCACUGAUAUUUGAAUGGCCGCAGUAUUUUAACUGUGCAAAGGUAGCAUAAUCAUUAGUCUUUUAAUUGAAGGCUGGUAUGAAUGGUUGGACGAGAUACUAUCUGUUUCACGUAGAGUUAGAUUAGAAUUUUAUUUUUCAGUAAAAAGGCUGAAAUGGUUUUUAAAGACGAGAAGACCCUAUAAAUCUUUAUAGUUGAUUUGUUAUAAUUUUUUAGAUGGGUUGUAUUAUGACAGUUGAUACUAUUUUAUUGGGGUGAUAUUAAAAUUUAAUUAACUUUUAGUUUUUGGUGACAUUAAUUAAUGAUUGAUUGAUCCGUUAAUGACGAUUGGAAAAUUAAGUUACUUUAGGGAUAACAGCGUAAUUUUUUUGGAGAGUUCUUAUCGAUAAAAGUGAUUGCGACCUCGAUGUUGGAUUAAGAGAUAGAUUUGGGUGUAGCAGCUUGAAUUCUAAGUCUGUUCGACUUUUAAUUUCUUACAUGACUUGAGUUCAA
Molecule: ribosomal RNA, 544 nt
Filed under: Gasterophilus haemorrhoidalis
Lineage: Eukaryota; Metazoa; Arthropoda; Insecta; Diptera; Oestridae
Description: partial 16S ribosomal RNA
Rfam family: Bacterial large subunit ribosomal RNA
Source: RNAcentral